AAAUAUCUUGGUCAGUUCAACACGAGCCAGUAUUGUGUAAUUUUUGAUAGAAAGAACAUUGUAAAGGAAUAUGAAGCAAAAUAAAAUUAAAUAUAAAAACCAAUUAUUGUCAAUAAUUGGAUGCCUGUGUAUCUUAAAUAUUGUAAUCCUGCUGAUGAGGGGCAUGAUGGCCCGAAACAUGGAUGUUGAUCAUUGUAUGUGUACAGAUAGCUUAAUAAAGAAAGUCUG
Centruroides sculpturatus (bark scorpion) is the source of this 228-nucleotide long non-coding RNA. RefSeq lists it as uncharacterized. The transcript is spliced from 3 exons. The record is from RefSeq and is a predicted model, not a curated record. Lineage: Eukaryota; Metazoa; Arthropoda; Arachnida; Scorpiones; Buthidae.